Molecule: ribosomal RNA, 429 nt
Filed under: Fusobacteriota bacterium
Lineage: Bacteria; Fusobacteriati; Fusobacteriota
Description: Fusobacteria bacterium partial 16S ribosomal RNA
Rfam family: Bacterial small subunit ribosomal RNA
Source: RNAcentral
UGGGGAAUAUUGCGCAAUGGGCGAAAGCCUGACGCAGCGACGCCGCGUGAGGGAUGAAGGUUUUCGGAUCGUAAACCUCUGUCAGAAGGGAAGAAACCGCACUGUGCUAAUCAGCAGUGCCUUGACGGUACCUUCAAAGGAAGCACCGGCUAACCCCGUGCCAGCAGCCGCGGUAAUACGGAGGGUGCAAGCGUUAAUCGGAAUUACUGGGCGUAAAGCGCACGUAGGCUGCUUUGUAAGUCAGGGGUGAAAUCCCACGGCUCAACCGUGGAACUGCCUUUGAUACUGCUUAGCUUGAAUCCGGGAGAGGGUGGCGGAAUUCCAGGUGUAGGAGUGAAAUCCGUAGAUAUCUGGAGGAACAUCAGUGGCGAAGGCGGCCACCUGGACCGGUAUUGACGCUGAGGUGCGAAAGCGUGGGGAGCAAACAGG